RNAcentral lists this ribosomal RNA (459 nucleotides) under uncultured bacterium. Its description in RNAcentral is "bacterial SSU rRNA". It matches the Rfam family "Bacterial small subunit ribosomal RNA", at positions 29 to 533 of the family's 1533-position model. The record is from RNAcentral.
AACGAACGCUGGCGGCAGGCCUAACACAUGCAAGUCGAGCGAACCCUUCGGGGUUAGCGGCGGACGGGUUAGUAACGCGUGGGAAUAUACCCUUUGGUACGGAAUAGCCUCGGGAAACUGAGAGUAAUACCGUAUGUGCCCUUCGGGGAAAGGAUUAUCGCCAAAGGAUUAGCCCGCGUUGGAUUAGGUAGUUGGUGGGGUAAUGGCCUACCAAGCCUACGAUCCAUAGCUGGUUUGAGAGGAUGAUCAGCAACACUGGGACUGAGACACGGCCCAGACUCCUACGGGAGGCAGCAGUGGGGAAUCUUAGACAAUGGGCGCAAGCCUGAUCUAGCCAUGCCGCGUGGACGAUGAAGGCCUUAGGGUUGUAAAGUCCUUUCAGAUGGGAAGAUAAUGACGGUACCAUCAGAAGAAGCCCCCGGCUAACUCCGUGCCAGCAGCCGCGGUAAAGUAGUCGUG